This 253-nucleotide ribosomal RNA is filed under the name uncultured bacterium. RNAcentral describes it as "partial 16S ribosomal RNA". It matches the Rfam family "Bacterial small subunit ribosomal RNA", at positions 524 to 776 of the family's 1533-position model. The record is from RNAcentral.
UACGUAGGGUGCAAGCGUUAAUCGGAACUACUGGGCGUAAAGCGUGCGCAGGCGGUUAUGCAAGACAGAUGUGAAAUCCCCGGGCUCAACCUGGGAACUGCAUUUGUGACUGCAUGGCUAGAGUACGGUAGAGGGGGAUGGAAUUCCGCGUGUAGCAGUGAAAUGCGUAGAUAUGCGGAGGAACACCGAUGGCGAAGGCAAUCCCCUGGACCUGUACUGACGCUCAUGCACGAAAGCGUGGGGAGCAAACAGG